Molecule: ribosomal RNA, 116 nt
Filed under: Fusobacterium ulcerans
Lineage: Bacteria; Fusobacteriati; Fusobacteriota; Fusobacteriia; Fusobacteriales; Fusobacteriaceae
Also listed under: 1 other name
Source: RNAcentral
UGGUAAGAAUAGCUGCGGGGGUACACCUGGUCCCAUUCCGAACCCAGAAGUUAAGCCCGUAAACGCUGAAAGUACUUGGAGGGAAGCCUCCUGGGAGGAUAGGAACUUGCCAAGCA